AGGUACACCCGUGCCGGCAGCAGCGGUAAUACGGAGGAUCCAAGCGUGAUCCGGAAGCAUUGGGUUUAAAGGGUCCGUAGGCGGCCUUAUAAGUCAGUGGUGAAAUCUCACGGCUCAACCGUGAAAUGGCCAUUGAUACUGUAGGGCUUGAAGUAGUGGGAAGUAACUAGAAUAUGUAGUGUAGCGGUGAAAUGCUUAGAUAUUACAUGGAAUACCGAUUGCGAAGGCAGGUUACUACCAAUGGAUUGACGCUGAUGGACGAAAGCGUGGGUAGCGAACAGGAUUAGAUACUCUGGAGUC
RNAcentral lists this ribosomal RNA (300 nucleotides) under uncultured Acidiplasma sp. Its description in RNAcentral is "bacterial SSU rRNA". It matches the Rfam family "Bacterial small subunit ribosomal RNA", at positions 495 to 795 of the family's 1533-position model. Lineage: Archaea; Methanobacteriati; Thermoplasmatota; Thermoplasmata; Thermoplasmatales; Ferroplasmaceae. The record is from RNAcentral.